RNAcentral lists this ribosomal RNA (2947 nucleotides) under Klebsiella pneumoniae 30660/NJST258_1. RNAcentral's name for it is "bacterial LSU rRNA". It matches the Rfam family "Bacterial large subunit ribosomal RNA". Lineage: Bacteria; Pseudomonadati; Pseudomonadota; Gammaproteobacteria; Enterobacterales; Enterobacteriaceae. The record is from RNAcentral.
UGAAACAUCUUCGGGUUGUGAGGUUAAGCGACUAAGCGUACACGGUGGAUGCCCUGGCAGUCAGAGGCGAUGAAGGACGUGCUAAUCUGCGAAAAGCGUCGGUAAGGUGAUAUGAACCGUUAUAACCGGCGAUGUCCGAAUGGGGAAACCCAGUGCAAUUCGUUGCACUAUCGUUAACUGAAUACAUAGGUUAACGAGGCGAACCGGGGGAACUGAAACAUCUAAGUACCCCGAGGAAAAGAAAUCAACCGAGAUUCCCCCAGUAGCGGCGAGCGAACGGGGAGCAGCCCAGAGUCUGAAUCAGCUUGUGUGUUAGUGGAACGGUCUGGAAAGUCCGACGGUACAGGGUGAUAGUCCCGUACACCAAAAUGCACAGGCUGUGAACUCGAAGAGUAGGGCGGGACACGUGGUAUCCUGUCUGAAUAUGGGGGGACCAUCCUCCAAGGCUAAAUACUCCUGACUGACCGAUAGUGAACCAGUACCGUGAGGGAAAGGCGAAAAGAACCCCGGCGAGGGGAGUGAAAAAGAACCUGAAACCGUGUACGUACAAGCAGUGGGAGCACCUUCGGGUGUGACUGCGUACCUUUUGUAUAAUGGGUCAGCGACUUAUAUUCUGUAGCAAGGUUAACCGUAUAGGGGAGCCGCAGGGAAACCGAGUCUUAACUGGGCGUUAAGUUGCAGGGUAUAGACCCGAAACCCGGUGAUCUAGCCAUGGGCAGGUUGAAGGUUGGGUAACACUAACUGGAGGACCGAACCGACUAAUGUUGAAAAAUUAGCGGAUGACUUGUGGCUGGGGGUGAAAGGCCAAUCAAACCGGGAGAUAGCUGGUUCUCCCCGAAAGCUAUUUAGGUAGCGCCUCGUGAACUCAUCUUCGGGGGUAGAGCACUGUUUCGGCUAGGGGGUCAUCCCGACUUACCAACCCGAUGCAAACUACGAAUACCGAAGAAUGUUAUCACGGGAGACACACGGCGGGUGCUAACGUCCGUCGUGAAGAGGGAAACAACCCAGACCGCCAGCUAAGGUCCCAAAGUCAUGGUUAAGUGGGAAACGAUGUGGGAAGGCACAGACAGCCAGGAUGUUGGCUUAGAAGCAGCCAUCAUUUAAAGAAAGCGUAAUAGCUCACUGGUCGAGUCGGCCUGCGCGGAAGAUGUAACGGGGCUAAACCAUGCACCGAAGCUGCGGCAGCGACACUAUGUGUUGUUGGGUAGGGGAGCGUUCUGUAAGCCUGCGAAGGUGUGCUGUGAGGCAUGCUGGAGGUAUCAGAAGUGCGAAUGCUGACAUAAGUAACGAUAAAGCGGGUGAAAAGCCCGCUCGCCGGAAGACCAAGGGUUCCUGUCCAACGUUAAUCGGGGCAGGGUGAGUCGACCCCUAAGGCGAGGCCGAAAGGCGUAGUCGAUGGGAAACAGGUUAAUAUUCCUGUACUUGGUGUUACUGCGAAGGGGGGACGGAGAAGGCUAUGUUAGCCGGGCGACGGUUGUCCCGGUUUAAGCAUGUAGGCUGAUUGUCCAGGCAAAUCCGGAUAAUCAAGGCUGAGGUGUGAUGACGAGGCACUACGGUGCUGAAGUAACAAAUGCCCUGCUUCCAGGAAAAGCCUCUAAGCAUCAGGUAACAUCAAAUCGUACCCCAAACCGACACAGGUGGUCAGGUAGAGAAUACCAAGGCGCUUGAGAGAACUCGGGUGAAGGAACUAGGCAAAAUGGUGCCGUAACUUCGGGAGAAGGCACGCUGGUGUGUAGGUGAAGUCCCUGCGGAUGGAGCUGAGACCAGUCGAAGAUACCAGCUGGCUGCAACUGUUUAUUAAAAACACAGCACUGUGCAAACACGAAAGUGGACGUAUACGGUGUGACGCCUGCCCGGUGCCGGAAGGUUAAUUGAUGGGGUUAUCCGUAAGGAGAAGCUCUUGAUCGAAGCCCCGGUAAACGGCGGCCGUAACUAUAACGGUCCUAAGGUAGCGAAAUUCCUUGUCGGGUAAGUUCCGACCUGCACGAAUGGCGUAAUGAUGGCCAGGCUGUCUCCACCCGAGACUCAGUGAAAUUGAACUCGCUGUGAAGAUGCAGUGUACCCGCGGCAAGACGGAAAGACCCCGUGAACCUUUACUAUAGCUUGACACUGAACAUUGAGCCUUGAUGUGUAGGAUAGGUGGGAGGCUUUGAAGCGUGGACGCCAGUCUGCGUGGAGCCAACCUUGAAAUACCACCCUUUAAUGUUUGAUGUUCUAACGUUGGCCCCUGACCGGGGUUGCGGACAGUGUCUGGUGGGUAGUUUGACUGGGGCGGUCUCCUCCCAAAGCGUAACGGAGGAGCACGAAGGUUAGCUAAUCCUGGUCGGACAUCAGGAGGUUAGUGCAAUGGCAUAAGCUAGCUUGACUGCGAGCGUGACGGCGCGAGCAGGUGCGAAAGCAGGUCAUAGUGAUCCGGUGGUUCUGAAUGGAAGGGCCAUCGCUCAACGGAUAAAAGGUACUCCGGGGAUAACAGGCUGAUACCGCCCAAGAGUUCAUAUCGACGGCGGUGUUUGGCACCUCGAUGUCGGCUCAUCACAUCCUGGGGCUGAAGUAGGUCCCAAGGGUAUGGCUGUUCGCCAUUUAAAGUGGUACGCGAGCUGGGUUUAGAACGUCGUGAGACAGUUCGGUCCCUAUCUGCCGUGGGCGCUGGAGAAUUGAGGGGGGCUGCUCCUAGUACGAGAGGACCGGAGUGGACUAGUACGAGAGGACCGGAGUGGACGCAUCACUGGUGUUCGGGUUGUCAUGCCAAUGGCACUGCCCGGUAGCUAAAUGCGGAAGAGAUAAGUGCUGAAAGCAUCUAAGCACGAAACUUGCCCCGAGAUGAGUUCUCCCUGAGACUUUAAGUCUCCUGAAGGAACGUUAAAGACGAUGACGUUGAUAGGCCGGGUGUGUAAGCGCAGCGAUGCGUUGAGCUAACCGGUACUAAUGAACCGUGAGGCUUAACCUU